This is a long non-coding RNA of Hippocampus comes (tiger tail seahorse), 448 nucleotides long. RefSeq lists it as uncharacterized. The transcript is spliced from 2 exons. The record is from RefSeq and is a predicted model, not a curated record. Lineage: Eukaryota; Metazoa; Chordata; Actinopteri; Syngnathiformes; Syngnathidae.
AAUGCAUACGUAAAGGCGAGAAAAAGUACACAUCUCUUUUAAACUUUAUCUAAAAAACACACACACGAAAGAAGUGCUUUUUACAAAAGCCAAAGAGAAAAUAGUUAUGGUAAAAUAAUACUAUACCAAGUCAAAACUUUUCUGACAAAAAUUUGUUUGUGUACUGAACAUUUAAACUUAUAAUAGAAAUUUGGCAGGAAGUAAAGUUGAAAAAAACCCCGCAAUAGUCCUCAUUCAGCAUGUUCGAAGGAAGUAGAAAGAAGUAAAAAAUGUCAAGUGUGGUCGUAGUAAUGAACAGUAUAAUUUGUAUAAAACCUCUUACUCAGCACAUCCUUGGUUUUGUAAAGGAAGUGGUCAGGAAGGCAGCAAAGAGGUCUACAGCUGCUGGAAAUUGUUGCAAGUACUGUUGCAUCCUACAUGUGAUUGAGGAAGGUUUUUUUUUUUUAUA